UAUUGCGCAAUGGAGGAAACUCUGACGCAGUGACGCCGCGUAUAGGAAGAAGUUUUUCGGAAUGUAAACUAUUGUCGUUAGGGAAGAGAAAGGACAGUACCUAAGGAGGAAGCUCCGGCUAACUACGUGCCAGCAGCCGCGGUAAUACGUAGGGAGCGAGCGUUAUCCGGAAUUAUUGGGUGUAAAGGGUGCGUAGACGGGAAGGCAAGUUGGUUGUGAAAUCCCUCGGCUUAACUGAGGAACUGCAACCAAAACUAUCUUUCUUGAGUGCUGGAGAGGAAAGUGGAAUUCCUAGUGUAGCGGUGAAAUGCGUAGAUAUUAGGAGGAACACCAGUGGCGAAGGCGACUUUCUGGACAGUAACUGACGUUGAGGCACGAAAGUGUGGGGAGCAAACAGG
This 398-nucleotide ribosomal RNA is filed under the name uncultured bacterium. RNAcentral describes it as "bacterial SSU rRNA". It matches the Rfam family "Bacterial small subunit ribosomal RNA", at positions 362 to 776 of the family's 1533-position model. The record is from RNAcentral.